AUUAUGAGGUUGUAGAAUAUUCAUCGUACUAGAAUCUUUAAUCAUCAUCCUUAGAUCUAAAUAAUGGAUCUUAUUAUGUCUCUUGGAGACUACAUGAUUUGUAUGAAAUUUCAAUUUAAAAAUUUCGUAUCUAAGUUGAUCAAGAGAUUUUCUGAUAUUAUUGUUGAGGUUGUUAAUGAAAAAUUGAUAUCUUCAGAUUAAGAUAAAAGAUCUGAUUUAUAUUUAUUUCAGAUUAAGGGACCCAUGUGAAUUUAC
This 255-nucleotide long non-coding RNA is filed under the name Elaeis guineensis (African oil palm). RNAcentral's name for it is "long non-coding RNA (EGUI_LNC037204)". The record is from RNAcentral. Lineage: Eukaryota; Viridiplantae; Streptophyta; Magnoliopsida; Arecales; Arecaceae.